UUAGAUGUUCGGGGCCGCACGCGCGCUACAAUGAAGGACUCAGCGUGUGUUACCCCUGUCCGGAAGGACUGGGUAACCCGGUGAACCUCCUUCGUGAUAGGGAUAGGAGAUUGUAACUGUUCUCCUUGAACGAGGAAUUCCUAGUAAGCACGAGUCAUAAGCUCGUGUUGAUUCGGUCCCUGCCCUUUGUACACACCGCCCGUCGCUACUACCGAUUGAAUGAUUUAGUGAGGACUUCGGACUGGCUCUCGGAGCGGACCCCGGUCCGGGCCGAGCUGCCGGAAAGAUGUCCAAACUUGAUCAUUUAGAGGAAGUAAAAGUCGUAACAAGGUUUCC
This 336-nucleotide ribosomal RNA is filed under the name Quamtana sp. CAS5. Its description in RNAcentral is "bacterial SSU rRNA". It matches the Rfam family "Eukaryotic small subunit ribosomal RNA", at positions 1473 to 1804 of the family's 1831-position model. The record is from RNAcentral. Lineage: Eukaryota; Metazoa; Arthropoda; Arachnida; Araneae; Pholcidae.